Long non-coding RNA from Mytilus californianus (California mussel), 617 nucleotides. RefSeq lists it as uncharacterized. NCBI's taxonomy places the organism in Eukaryota, Metazoa, Mollusca, Bivalvia, Mytilida, Mytilidae. The record is from RefSeq and is a predicted model, not a curated record. The transcript has 2 exons.
UGAGUUAGUAAUUUUACAAAAAUUUUGCAGUUUUUAUACGACCGCAAAAAUUGAAAAUUUUUUGGUCGUAUAUUGGUAUGACGUUGGCGUCGUCGUUGUCGUCGUCGUCGUCGUCGUCGUCCGGCGUCGUCCGAAGACACAUUGGUUUUCGCACUCUAACUUUAGUUUAAGUGAAUGGAUCUCCAUGAAAUUUUACCAUAAGGUUCAAUACCAAGAAAGGAAGGUGGGGAUUGAUUUUGGGGGUUGUGGUACCAACAGCUAAGGAAUUAGGGGCCAAAAAGGGGCCAAAUAUAAGCAUUUUUGUAACUUCCAGACAAUAACUUGUGUGUAAGUGUAUGGAUCUCUCUGACAUUGUACCACAAGGUUCCAUAUCACAAAGGGAAUGCUGGGAUUGAUUUUGGGGAUAAUUGCCUCAAAAUUUUAGGAAUUAGGGGCCAAAAAAGGGGAAAAAAACAAGCAUUUUUCUAGUUUCAUGACAAUAACUUGUGUGUAAGUUUAUGGAUCUUUCUGAAAUUGUACUACAAGGUUCCAUAUCACAAAGGGAAAGCUGGAAUUGAGUUUGGGGGUAAUUGCCCAAAACGUUUAGGAAUAAGGGGCCAAAAGGGGCCAAAAAUAAG